This 130-nucleotide ribosomal RNA is filed under the name Tubipora sp. OC111. Its description in RNAcentral is "partial 16S ribosomal RNA". Lineage: Eukaryota; Metazoa; Cnidaria; Anthozoa; Malacalcyonacea; Tubiporidae. The record is from RNAcentral.
GUCUCAGCGAUGCUCGACUAUAUUGGCCCCAUCGACGUAAUCAACUUCUGGCUGCUGCAAAGAGGGAAAACAAAAAGUUUAGGUAUUAAUAAAAUCAUAUACCAUUUGGGUGCAUAACCCUUGGUAUACU